GCCGGAGUGGCGGAACUGGCAGACGCACAGGACUUAAAAUCCUGCGGACUUAAUCAUCCGUACCGGUUCGAUUCCGGUCUCCGGCACCA
RNAcentral lists this transfer RNA (89 nucleotides) under Hyphomonadaceae bacterium. Its description in RNAcentral is "tRNA-Leu". It matches the Rfam family "tRNA". Rfam says of the family: Transfer RNA (tRNA) molecules are approximately 80 nucleotides in length. Their secondary structure includes four short double-helical elements and three loops (D, anti-codon, and T loops). Further hydrogen bonds mediate the characteristic L-shaped molecular structure. tRNAs have two regions of fundamental functional importance: the anti-codon, which is responsible for specific mRNA codon recognition, and the 3' end, to which the tRNAs corresponding amino acid is attached (by aminoacyl-tRNA synthetases). tRNAs cope with the degeneracy of the genetic code in two manners: having more than one tRNA (with a specific anti-codon) for a particular amino acid; and 'wobble' base-pairing, i.e. permitting non-standard base-pairing at the 3rd anti-codon position. Lineage: Bacteria; Pseudomonadati; Pseudomonadota; Alphaproteobacteria; Hyphomonadales; Hyphomonadaceae. The record is from RNAcentral.